CAGCCGCCGCGGUAAUACGUAGGGUGCAAGCGUUAAUCGGUAUUACUGGGCGUAAAGCGUGCGCAGGCGGUUUGUUAAGACAGAUGUGAAAUCCCCGGGCUUAACCUGGGAACUGCAUUUGUGACUGGCAAGCUAGAGUAUGGCAGAGGGGGGUGGAAUUCCGCGUGUAGCAGUGAAAUGCGUAGAUAUGCGGAGGAACACCGAUGGCGAAGGCAGCCCCCUGGGCCAAUACUGACGCUCAUGCACGAGAGCGUGGGGAGCAAACAGGAUUAGAUACCCGAGUAGUCCCUGUCUCUUAUAC
RNAcentral lists this ribosomal RNA (301 nucleotides) under uncultured bacterium. RNAcentral describes it as "partial 16S ribosomal RNA". It matches the Rfam family "Bacterial small subunit ribosomal RNA", at positions 509 to 807 of the family's 1533-position model. The record is from RNAcentral.